RNAcentral lists this ribosomal RNA (497 nucleotides) under uncultured bacterium. RNAcentral describes it as "partial 16S ribosomal RNA". It matches the Rfam family "Bacterial small subunit ribosomal RNA", at positions 28 to 507 of the family's 1533-position model. The record is from RNAcentral.
GAUGAACGCUGGCGGCGUGCCUAAUACAUGCAAGUCGAGCGAACAGACGAGGAGCUUGCUCCUUCGACGUUAGCGGCGGACGGGUGAGUAACACGUAGGUAACCUACCUAUAAGACUGGGAUAACUUCGGGAAACCGGAGCUAAUACCGGAUAAUAUUUCGAACCGCAUGGUUCGAUAGUGAAAGAUGGCUUUGCUAUCACUUAUAGAUGGACCUGCGCCGUAUUAGCUAGUUGGUAAGGUAACGGCUUACCAAGGCAACGAUACGUAGCCGACCUGGGAGGGUGAUCGGCCACACUGGGACUGAGACACGGUCCAGACUCCUACGGGAGGCAGCAGUAGGGAAUCUUCCGCAAUGGGCGAAAGCCUGACGGAGCAACGCCGCGUGAGUGAUGAAGGUCUUCGGAUCGUAAAACUCUGUUAUUAGGGAAGAACAAACGUGUAAGUAACUGUGCACGUCUUGACGGUACCUAAUCAGAAAGCCACGGCUAACUACGUG